This 395-nucleotide ribosomal RNA is filed under the name uncultured bacterium. Its description in RNAcentral is "partial 16S ribosomal RNA". It matches the Rfam family "Bacterial small subunit ribosomal RNA", at positions 523 to 918 of the family's 1533-position model. The record is from RNAcentral.
AUACGUAGGGUGCAAGCGUUAAUCGGAAUUACUGGGCGUAAAGCAUGCGCAGGCGGUUUUGUAAGACAGAGGUGAAAUCCCCGGGCUCAACCUGGGAACUGCCUUUGUGACUGCAAGGCUAGAGUACGGCAGAGGGGGAUGGAAUUCCGCGUGUAGCAGUGAAAUGCGUAGAUAUGCGGAGGAACACCGAUGGCGAAGGCAAUCCCCUGGGCCUGUACUGACGCUCAAGCACGAAAGCGUGGGGAGCAAACAGGAUUAGAAACCCUGGUAGGCCACGCCCUAAACGAUGUCAACUGGGUGUUGGGUCUUCAUUGACUCAGUAACGAAGCUAACGCGAGAAGUUGACCGCCUGGGGAGUACGGCCGCAAGGUUAAAACUCAAAUGAAUUGACGGGG